This 584-nucleotide ribosomal RNA is filed under the name uncultured bacterium. RNAcentral describes it as "bacterial SSU rRNA". It matches the Rfam family "Bacterial small subunit ribosomal RNA", at positions 559 to 1141 of the family's 1533-position model. The record is from RNAcentral.
CGUAAAGCGCGCGCAGGCGGGUCAGUAAGUCAGGUGUGAAAUCUCGGAGCUCAACUCCGAAACUGCGCCUGAAACUAUUGGUCUAGAGUAUCGGAGGGGACAGGGGAAUUUCACGUGUAGGGGUAAAAUCCGUAGAGAUGUGAAGGAACAUCGGAGGCGAAGGCGCCUGUCUGGACGAUUACUGACGCUGAGGCGCGAAAGCGUGGGGAGCAAACAGGAUUAGAUACCCUGGUAGUCCACGCCGUAAACGAUGAGCACUAGUUAUUGGAGGUAUUGACUCCUCCAGUGACGUAGCUAACGCAUUAAGUGCUCCGCCUGGGGAGUACGGUCGCAAGACUAAAACUCAAACAAAUUGACGGGGGCCCGCACAAGCGGUGGAUUAUGUGGUUUAAUUCGAAGCAACGCGCAGAACCUUACCUAGGCUUGAACUCCUACGAACCUGUUGUAAUGGACGGGGUGCCCGCAAGGGAAUGUAGUGAGAGGUGCUGCAUGGCUGUCGUCAGCUCGUGUUGUGAAAUGUUGGGUUAAGUCUCGCAACGAGCGCAACCCCUAUCGUCUGUUGCCAGCAUUAAGUUGGGCACUCU